This 203-nucleotide ribosomal RNA is filed under the name uncultured bacterium. RNAcentral's name for it is "partial 16S ribosomal RNA". It matches the Rfam family "Bacterial small subunit ribosomal RNA", at positions 568 to 772 of the family's 1533-position model. The record is from RNAcentral.
AGCGUAGGUGGAUAUUAAGUGGAUCUUAAAAGUGCGGGGCUCAACCCCGUGAUGGGGUCCAAACUGAAUAUCUUGAGUGCAGGAGAGGAAAGCGGAAUUCCUAGUGUAGCGGUGAAAUGCGUAGAUAUUAGGAAGAACACCAGUGGCGAGGGCGGCUUUCUGGACUGUAACUGACACUGAGGCUCGAAAGCCAGGGUAGCACG